Long non-coding RNA from Engraulis encrasicolus (European anchovy), 565 nucleotides. RefSeq lists it as uncharacterized. The record is from RefSeq and is a predicted model, not a curated record. The transcript is spliced from 3 exons. NCBI's taxonomy places the organism in Eukaryota, Metazoa, Chordata, Actinopteri, Clupeiformes, Engraulidae.
GCUGAUCAAGGGCCUAAACGCGCACAGGGAGCCAAAGGGGUCAAAGGAGAAGAGGGACCCGCAGGACAACAGGGUAUCCAAGGAGGGCCAGAGAAGAGGGGAAACUGUGGAUUUCCAGGCGCUUGAGGACCCAGUGGACAAAAGAUGUUCUACACUGGAGCUGGAAUGAACCCUGUCAGAUCCUUCGCUCCUGCUAUGUUCAAGGGGAACUCCAUGAACCACUGGGUAAGAAAAAUAUAUACAAAUUAUGCAUAAAAAAACAUGCUCAUAGUCUCGCAUUGUUUGUAAACUACUUUCAAUUCAGAUAUAAUAGAUGUAAUAGUGUUACAUUGUUUUAGUCUUUUACAGAAUGCGCAAUGCACUGCAUGUAUUUCUUAGCUGCAUGUAACUAUAAUAUGGUUUCUGUUCUUCCCUCCUCGUGCCUGCGCCCGUCGGUCCGUGUGUCCGUCCAGCUGGCUGUGCGUGCAUCUGUCUCUGCGUCCGUGCCUACGUCUGGCCGGCAGUGCGUCCGUCCGUGCGUCAGUCGGUCUGUGCGUCCGUCUGUGCUUCCGUCUGUGCCUACGUG